GAACCACCUGAUCCCAUCCCGAACUCAGCAGUGAAACGAUGCAUCGCCGAUGGUAGUGUGGGGUUUCUCCAUGUGAGAGUAGGUCAUCGUCAAGA
This 95-nucleotide ribosomal RNA is filed under the name Pseudomonas fluorescens. Lineage: Bacteria; Pseudomonadati; Pseudomonadota; Gammaproteobacteria; Pseudomonadales; Pseudomonadaceae. The record is from RNAcentral.